CCUACGGGUGGCUGCAGUGCGGAAUCUUUGUCAAUGGGCGCGAGCCUGAACCCGCCAAGUAGCGUGAAGGCUUACUGCCUUACGGGUUGUACACUUCUUUUAUACAGGAAUAAAGUGAGGCACGUGUGCCUUUUUGUGAGUAAUUUAUUAAUAAGGAUCGGCUAACUCCGUGCCAGCCGCCGCGGUACUACGGGGGAUCCACGCGUUAUCCGGAUUUGUUGGGUUUAAGGGGCGCGUAGGUGGGUUGUUAAGUCAGUUGUGAAAGUUUGCGGCUCAACCGUAAAAUUGCAAAUGAUACUGGCAGCCUAUAGUACAGUAGAGGUAGGCGGAAGUCGUGGUGUAGCGGUGAAAGGCGUAGAUAUCACGAAGAACUCUGAUUGCGAAGGCAGCCUACUAAACUUCCACUGACAUUGAGGCUCGAAAGUGAGGGGAUCAAACAGGAUUAGAGACCCGAGUAGUC
This 460-nucleotide ribosomal RNA is filed under the name uncultured bacterium. RNAcentral describes it as "partial 16S ribosomal RNA". It matches the Rfam family "Bacterial small subunit ribosomal RNA", at positions 338 to 795 of the family's 1533-position model. The record is from RNAcentral.